AACAAGGGCUUCAAACUACAGGAAAGGAGAUUCCACCUGAACAUCAGGAAGAACUUCCUCACUGUGAGAGCUGUUCGGCAGUGGAACUCUCUCCCCCGGAGUGUGGUGGAAGCUCCUUCUUUGGAGGUUUUUAAAGCAGAGGCUGGAUGGCCAUCUGUCGGGGGUGCUUUGAAUGCGAUUUCCUGCUUCUUGGCAGGGGGUUGGACUGGAUGGCCCAUGAGCUCAAUUUCUAAAAUAGGCGGCCCAGAAACACUGCCUAAUUCUAGUUAUAGUGGUCAGUUUUUCUGCACUAACAUACCACAAGAAGGGAGGGAGGGAGCAAUAAUAAAAGAGGUAGAGUUAGUUCCAGAAUCAGUGCCAGAUUCACCCUUGUGCUGAGCUGUGCUUAAGCACAGGGCCCCAUUGGCCAGGGGGCCCAUCUUCCUGCCAAAAAUAUGUUUACAAUGGAUUUCAGUUAUGAGGUACAAUUCUAAAUUUGAAGGCAUUCUUGUUUAGAGCAAUUCCCAACAUAAUGAUAGAGUUGAUCAUCUAUGGGAGUGUGCCACAGAGCAGGCAGCGUAGGCCUACCGAGGCCUCAUAUCUUAACUAGUAAAGGGCCUCAUUUGUCCUAAAUCCAGCACUGUUCAGAAUGAUAACUGGGACCUGGCAAGUUGAGAAGUGAUUUUUAGUUCUGUGUCAUAGGUGUACUAUAUCAUCUUAGAUGUAGGAAUGCAUGGUUGUUUUUUUCUGUACAUUUGUAUAUGUUUAACUUUGUUUUUGGAGCCCUCAGUGGCUCAGUGGGUUAAACCCUUGUGCUGGCAGGACUGAUGACUGGUUGGGUUGCUGACCUAUCCGCUCCAGCUCCAUGCAGGGACAUGAGAGAAGCCUCCCACGAGGAUGGUAAAAACACCAAAACAUCAGGGUAUUCCCUGGGCAGCAUCCUUGCAGACGGCCAAUUCUCUCACACCAGAAGCAACUUGCAGUUUCUCAAGUCACUCCUGACAUGAAAAUAAAUAAACUUUGUUUUGGGGGUUUUCCCCUUUUUUGUAUACUUUAAUGGUUGCUUUUUUUAAAGCCUGAAAUGUUAAUUUUUAAAACAGCUCAUAAAAAGGGAAGAGGGCAAGAGAGGCCAAGAGGGAGAGUCAAAGAGAGAGAAAGCUUGCCACGUAAAACACACAUUCUCCUUGUCAUGAAAUCUGUGGGCCCAUUGCCCAUGUAUUGAGACAUGCCUUUAUGCAAGAGCCCUCUCACAAUCGGCUUCUUCAAGGAGCACCGGCGAUCGCCACUGAUGGAUAAACAGGAACUUUGUUACCGCAAAGGUUAGAUAAGAAAAACAGGCGCUGAAAGACCUUUCCUUUGAACACUUUACUUCCACCUGUGAGAAGGUCUCCCUGCUGUAUAUCAUUCUUCCUUACGAUGCAGACUUUUCCUACAGAUCCGCUCUAUUGAUUGCAGCCUCUUCUUCACAACAUGACAGUCCCCUUUAUCAGUCCCUAUCUUAAUACUGAGCAGGUUGAAAGUAUGUAUUAAUCUUGACUUCUUUAACCCAGAGCCCAUACACAAAAAGUGUGUGUGUGUGUGCUUGUCCCAUCUACAUUUCCUAACCACUCACCUCCAGUGACCUGGAGUUUGACAUCAGACAUUACAUCCAGUGCUCCUUCACAGAUGCAAAGAUUUUGAUCCACCUGUUUAGAACCUCUCCAAUGGCAAGAGAUCUUCCUAGUGCUUGGAAAAGCACCUUCUUCAGGCAACAGCUCCCAGACUCCCUCAGACAGCAUCAUCAUCAUCAGACUGGCUAGCUUAGGGAUUCUGGGAGUUACAGUUCAAAACCGGAACUUUUCCCAACAUCAAGCUGUCCAGAGAUUACUAGGAUCCCCUCACACACACACAAGUGUGCUACAUUGAAAUGAAGCAUAGGAUACAUUAUUUUAUUAUUUUUAAAAGGUUUUGUGCCAUCUGUUUUCCUAAGGGAAAGAAUCUAAGCUAGUGGUUAUUUCAUAAUAAUUUCAUAAUAGUAAGAGCAACCAUAGAACAACAUAGAAGCAAUCACUAUUGAUACACGACAGUAGCAUAAGGAUUACUGUGGAUAAAUGCUAUCAUUCCCUAACUGUAUCCACCUUCAGGUCUAUUAGAUUAUUUCUCCCAGAAUCCCUGCCUAGCCUCUUUGCACACUGGUCAUAUUGGCUAGUCCAUCACAUCUGAAGAUUGAUGAAAUUGGGAAAUAUAUGGCUCUCCAAAAUAUUAUCUUCCAUUUUCUUAUGUGCAAUUUUUGAUACCAACUUUUUCUGCCACCAAUAUGGCUUUUUCAGAGCAACAUAAACAAAGAGAACAGGUUCCUGCCCCAAAGAGCUUCCCUUUUAAAAUGUGAAGUGGAAGCCAUUAAGAGAGGGAAGAAAUGAGAGCAAUAGAAGUAUUAAUAGGAAUUAAUAGGACAUUCAAUGCAUCCUGGAUUUAAGUUUAUGCCCUACUCCUUUGUGUAUGGUGGCUGGAUAUAUUAAAGCAUCAUUUAAGAAUUCUAGCAUCUUCAACUGAGGAGAACCUUACAGGUGACAGGAAAUUAAAAGGCAGAGGGAAAUGCAUUUUGGAAAAGACAUGGUGUUUUAAAACCAUAUAUAUAUACUAAAUGGUUUCAAACUAAUUUUCUUAGUUGACACAGAAACCAAAACUAAAAGGUUGGAGUUUCUUUUUAAAAGGGGGGGGGGGGAGAGAGAGAGGAAUCAGACCAUUUAAAGACAGAAAAUAAUUUAGGACCCCAUCACAUAGAAAACCUUGCCGAUGCAGCCAGCACGGAGCUUGCUGCAUCUCAUCACAAGCUGUACAGGUACUU
Molecule: long non-coding RNA, 2806 nt
Organism: Anolis carolinensis (green anole)
Lineage: Eukaryota; Metazoa; Chordata; Lepidosauria; Squamata; Anolidae
Source: Ensembl